AGAGCUUCUUCAAGGCUCUCAUGUGCUCCUCUGGUCCCAGCCCUUGUUUUGGUCUCAUCCACAGAGAGGGAAAGGUGAGCAGGGCCUGCCCGGUCCAUCAGGACCCAAGGGAGAGAAGGGAGCCCGGGGCAAUGACUGUGUACGAAUCUCCCCGGACGCCCCGCUUCAGUGUGCAGAAGGCCCAAAGGGAGAGAAGGGGGAGUCGGGAGCCUUGGGACCCUCAGGACUCCCUGGCUCCACAGGCCAGAAGGGCCAGAAAGGCGAGAAGGGAGACGGAGGCAUCAAGGGCUCGCCAGGAAAGCCAGGCCGAGAUGGCCGGCCAGGAGAGAUCUGUGUCAUGGGGCCCAAAGGGCAGAAGGGAGACCCUGGCUUUGUUGGGCCUGAGGGGCUGGCGGGAGAGCCUGGGCCCCCUGGCCUCCCUGGGCCCGCCGGGAUAGGACUUCCUGGGACCCCGGGGGACCCAGGUGGCCCUCCAGGCCCCAAGGGAGACAAGGUAAGCACAAACAGGAACAGGGGCACAUGCGGGAGGCCCCCUGCUGAGUGGGAGGAGAGAGGAGAAUGG
This 562-nucleotide long non-coding RNA is filed under the name Physeter macrocephalus (sperm whale). RNAcentral describes it as "Physeter catodon (sperm whale) lncRNA (ENSPCTG00005000823.1)". The record is from RNAcentral. Lineage: Eukaryota; Metazoa; Chordata; Mammalia; Artiodactyla; Physeteridae.